Gossypium raimondii (Peruvian cotton) is the source of this 145-nucleotide non-coding RNA. The record is from Rfam. NCBI's taxonomy places the organism in Eukaryota, Viridiplantae, Streptophyta, Magnoliopsida, Malvales, Malvaceae.
AGUUAAAAAUUUCAUUUAUUUAUAUUAUUAAAAACUAACGUAGUUGAUGGAAUAACCAGAUAGUAACAUGUGGUGUGCCAUGUGCAUCUCAUGCUGACAUAUAAUGAUUCUUUUUUAACAAUAUAAAUAGAUAGAAUUUUUAACA